GCGAGUAUUUAAACCCGGCCAGUACUGGAGGCCAAUCAGUAGUCCUACAAUGUUCAGUCUAACGCAGCAGUUCCUGUUGGUUCUGACAGCCGCGGUGGCGUUACUGGUCACUCUACCUCUUCCUCCAUUCAUCGUCUUCUAGACGUCUACAGUGAAUCAUCCGAAGAAUUUUGUCAUUAUAAGACUUCACAAGCCAAAAUCGUAUCAUUUACUCAUCACCGACCAUGAACAAGCAGAAUUGCAUCUCGUACAUGUUACCUCAAGGAGACCGCGACAAGAAGACUGUCCGAGGUA
This 294-nucleotide unclassified non-coding RNA is filed under the name Homalodisca vitripennis (glassy-winged sharpshooter). RNAcentral describes it as "uncharacterized LOC124369793, transcript variant X1". Lineage: Eukaryota; Metazoa; Arthropoda; Insecta; Hemiptera; Cicadellidae. The record is from RNAcentral.